GUGCCAGCAGCCGCGGUAAUACGUAGGGUGCGAGCGUUAAUCGGAAUUACUGGGCGUAAAGCGUGCGCAGGCGGUUUUGUAAGCCAGAUGUGAAAUCCCCGGGCUUAACCUGGGAAUGGCAUUUGGGACUGCAAGGCUUGAGUUUGGCAGAGGAGACUGGAAUUCCUGGUGUAGCAGUGAAAUGCGUAGAUAUCAGGAGGAAUACCGAUGGCGAAGGCAGGUCUCUGGGCUAGAACUGACGCUCAUGCACGAAAGCGUGGGGAGCAAACAGGAUUAGAUACCCUUGUAGUCC
Molecule: ribosomal RNA, 292 nt
Filed under: uncultured bacterium
Lineage: Bacteria
Description: partial 16S ribosomal RNA
Rfam family: Bacterial small subunit ribosomal RNA
Source: RNAcentral